RNAcentral lists this ribosomal RNA (468 nucleotides) under uncultured bacterium. RNAcentral's name for it is "partial 16S ribosomal RNA". It matches the Rfam family "Bacterial small subunit ribosomal RNA", at positions 28 to 507 of the family's 1533-position model. The record is from RNAcentral.
GACGAACGCUGGCGGCGUGCUUAACACAUGCAAGUCGAACGGAAAGGCCCUGCUUUUGUGGGGUGCUCGAGUGGCGAACGGGUGAGUAACACGUGAGUAACCUGCCCUUGACUUUGGGAUAACUUCAGGAAACUGGGGCUAAUACCGGAUAGGAGCUCCUGCUGCAUGGUGUGGGUUGGAAAGUUUCGGCGGUUGGGGAUGGACUCGCGGCUUAUCAGCUUGUUGGUGGGGUAGUGGCUUACCAAGGCUUUGACGGGUAGCCGGCCUGAGAGGGUGACCGGCCACAUUGGGCCUGAGAUACGGCCCAGACUCCUAUGGGAGGCAGCAGUGGGGAAUAUUGCACAAUGGGCGGAAGCCUGAUGCAGCAACGCCGCGUGCGGGAUGACGGCCUUCGGGUUGUAAACCGCUGUCGCCUGUGACGAAGCGUGAGUGACGGUAAUGGGUAAAGAAGCACCGGCUAACUACGUG